RNAcentral lists this transfer RNA (74 nucleotides) under Candidatus Latescibacterota bacterium. Its description in RNAcentral is "Candidatus Latescibacteria bacterium tRNA-Gln". It matches the Rfam family "tRNA". From Rfam's summary of the family: Transfer RNA (tRNA) molecules are approximately 80 nucleotides in length. Lineage: Bacteria; Pseudomonadati; Candidatus Latescibacterota. The record is from RNAcentral.
UGGGGAGUGGUCUAAUGGCAGGACAGCUGACUCUGGAUCAGUUUAUGGGGGUUCGAAUCCUCCCUCCCCAGCCA